ACAAAUGAAUGCCUCUGCUUGCAGAGCGCACACACACCCGGUCACAUGAUUUGUAGAGCCUCUGCUCAGUGUAAUCUAGUAUUAUUUUGACAGAGGACAUGUAUUAAAAACCCCCUUUUAUUUAAAUGAAUUAUAAUGGCUCAGUCUCGGCUGGCUAGAAUUAAUGAAAUA
Molecule: unclassified non-coding RNA, 171 nt
Filed under: uncultured fungus
Lineage: Eukaryota; Fungi
Description: sequence contains ITS1, 5.8S rRNA gene
Source: RNAcentral